AUAGCAAGCGGGAANCCACCCGAUCCCAUUCCGAACUCGGAAGUGAAAACGCUUUGCGCCGAUGGUAGUGUGGGGUCUCCCCAUGUGANGAGUAGGACACCGCCAGGCUU
Molecule: ribosomal RNA, 110 nt
Filed under: uncultured gamma proteobacterium EB750_07C09
Lineage: Bacteria; Pseudomonadati; Pseudomonadota; Gammaproteobacteria
Source: RNAcentral